CGCUUUCUGCUUCUGGGUAGCUUCUAGUCCGCACAAUGUCGGAACCCUUCACUUCCUUAAGCUCCGACCUCACAGAACUAAUCCUCUCCCACCUCCCUAUCCCCUCCCUCCUUCGUGCCUCCGUCGUAUGCAAGCGCUGGCAUUCCCUCAUCUCCAGCCCUUCUUUCCCUUCCCUUCCUCACCACAACCUUCCUUGGUUUUUCCUCCAUGGCCUCCACAACACCUCCUCCAAGAACAACCAGUCCUUCGCCUUCGACCCCUCCUCCAACUCCUGGUUUCGUAUCCCUUCUUUUCCUUUCCCUUCCCAUGACUUCAUUGGCUCCAAUGGGUUCCUCUUUUCCACCGCUCCUUCUUUCUCCUUUUCCCCUGUCCUCAAACCCCGUUGGAAAUCCACCUCUCCCCUUCGCUUUUCCAGGAUCAACCCACUUGUUGGCGUUUUCUUUGACCAUAAAGCUUCUCAAUCUCACAUAUCCAAGCCUCAUUUUAUAGUUGUUGGCGGUGUUCGAUUCAUUGGUAAUUUGGUUGAUAUCGAGGACAGAUUGGCUGUUGAAAUUUAUAACCCUUCUUCCGAUUCUUGGGAUCUCUGUCCGACUUUACCGGCUGAUUUUCGAUCCGGUAAUUCAUCUCAGACUUUAUCCUCUGCCCUGUUCAAAGGUAGAUUAUUUGUGUUUGGUAUAUACACUUUCUUUGUUUCUUUUUUCGAUUUGGAUAAGCAUGUUUGGAGCCAAGUACAGACAUUGAGGCCACCUGGUGUGCUUUUUGCAUUCCUGAUUGCAUGUCAAGAAAUGCUUGUUUUGGCUGGUAUGUGUAAUGGACCACGAGGGCCAUCUUUCAAUUUGUGGAGGAUUGAUGAGAAAAGCAUGGAGUUCAGUGAAAUUGCUAUUAUGCCUCAGGAUUUGCUUUAUGGGCUGGUUGAUAGCGAGGAG
This 926-nucleotide unclassified non-coding RNA is filed under the name Hevea brasiliensis (rubber tree). Lineage: Eukaryota; Viridiplantae; Streptophyta; Magnoliopsida; Malpighiales; Euphorbiaceae. The record is from RNAcentral.